This is a long non-coding RNA of Mustela lutreola (European mink), 1006 nucleotides long. RefSeq lists it as uncharacterized. NCBI's taxonomy places the organism in Eukaryota, Metazoa, Chordata, Mammalia, Carnivora, Mustelidae. The record is from RefSeq and is a predicted model, not a curated record. The transcript is spliced from 4 exons.
CGUAAGAACAUUACACAAUUAGAAUCAUACUGGAUGUGACCUUGGAGGCUGGCUUUUUCACUCUGCGUUUCAUCUGCCCAGGUUGCUGCAUGUAUCAAAGAUAAAAUCCCCAGACCGAAGACAGCCAUGUAACAGCAGAGGCAGACGCUGGAACGUUGUGACUGCCAUCCAGGGAACACCACAGUGUGCUUGCACCCACCAGAGAGACAGCAUGGAGCCACUAACACCUUGAUUUUGGGCUUCUGGCCUCCAACGCGGAGAUAGUAGCUUUUUCCCAAAGCCCUCCCGCUCAUGGUGCUUUGCUAUGUGGCAGCCCUGGGACAUGCGUACAUUUUGCAACAUAAUAACAACAAAAUUAGGGGUUGUUCCACAGUACAUUUUUUAUUGCCCUGCGUCAACCACAUAGAAAAGUACACAGACCAGAGAACUGCAUCUUCUCUGGUCAAGUGUUUCUUGGGAUCUGUUGCCUGUUUGUUAAUUGGAUGUCUGUUUUCUUAUCGUCAAGUCUCGAGCAUUCUUUACAUAUUCUCAGUGCAAGCUUUUGUCAGAUAAGUGAUUUGUAAAUAUUUUCUCCCGAACUAGAGCUUGUCAUUUUGCCUCUUACUGUUGUCUUUCAGGGAGCACAGCUGUCAUUUUUGAUGAUGUUCCGUGAUCGACUGUUGUUAAUAAACUGUGGGAUUUCAAAGAUAGAGAUCACAAGCAGGCAGAGAGAGAGGAGGAAGCAGGCUCCACGCUGAGCACAGAGUCCGAUGCGGGGCUCGAUCCCAGAACGCUGGGAUCGUGACUUGCACCAAAGGCAGAGGCUUUAACCCACUGAGGCACCCAGGCGCCACUUGGCUGCACUGGACAGCCUCUCUAGCCUGGAGUCCGGAAGAAAGAAGCCAUGGAACGGAUCCCGAGCCAAGCUGUAAAGGGCAUGGAUUGUGAACAAGAGAUAAACGUUUGUUUUUGAAAGCCACUGAGAUUUGGGAAUUGCUUAUUGUCGUAUCAGAUCUCUAUUUGCUGC